AUCUAUCCAAGUCUCGGUCGAGAAGGAUUUUCGAAUCCUUAUUGGCAGAGGUCAUCUCAUUAGCCUUCUCAGCCAAGUGAGGUGUUACAAGUUACUACAUUCAGGCACAUUGAAAGCCGAAUUUGAUAUUGAACUUCGCAAAACUAGCAACCUUGUCUUCAUGCUCUAGAAUCCGAAGGUCGAGACAUGUUCGUUCCUCGGCCUCAGUCGCAAGAUCAAGAAGUCAGCAGCGCGCUCAACGUAACAUCAACUCAUUUUAAUCCUCGGUCGAGCUCGGCCGACGAGUUGGCACACCCCGCAUCAACUGAAAGACGUAGUUAGCUCAUUAGUUACUCGGCUGGCGCGUCACGUAAGCUUGGUAGUUUUUAGGAUCAACACAUUGACACAUUAAUUGGGAUCUAAAUUUUGGAAUUGGACUACAUUGUAGACCAUCACAAUGUUACUAUUAACAUGUUAGUUACUUAUUCCAAUCAUUCAUUUUUCUUUUUUUGUUAAUAAAUUUAUUAAAAGUCUGUUAAACUUAUCUCUUACUAUUUAAUACCUAGUUAAGUUUCAAGUAAUGAUAAACACAUACCAUGACGAAAGUAAAUAAAUAAAAUGUGAAAAUCAUAACUUGCAUGAGAAAGUUAUUCAAAACGAGUGAAAAUAAAAAGAAAAUGUGAAAAGUUAAAAAAACGUUUGAAAAUUAGCUUUCCUAAACUUACAUGAGAACGUUAUUCAAGACGACAGAAAAUAAAAGUUAAAAGUUAAAAAGACAUGUGAAAAUCAACUUCCCUAAACUUAUAUGGGAAAGUUAUUCAAGACAUGCCUUUUUAGCCAAAAAUAGUUCAUGAGAGUUCACAAAAAAAAAAAUAGUUCAUGAGAUUAACAUAACUCCUUACAAAUGAUAUUCAAAAGAAACUGCUAAAUGGCUACCUAAAAAUGAUAUGAUUGUUAUGGAUGGGCCGAUACUGAAUAAACAAGUAUCCCCUAAGAUUUAAAAUAGAUACAAGUAGUCUCUGAGAUUAUCCAUCAUCAAUCAUUUUAAUCAAUUUGUGAAAAAAAUCUUCAUUUAAAUUGAAGAAACCACGACUUUAAGAGAAUGGUUGAUUUGAGAAAAAUACCCUCAAUUUAACGAAAAAUUUUCACAGAAUAACCUAAAUUAUUAACGGUAGACAAUCUCAUAGACCAUUCCUAUUAAUUUUAAAUCUCAGAAACUAAAAUAAAGAAUUAUAUCGAUCUCAUAAACCAAUUAAGAUAAAAAGCCCUCAAGACAUUAUCCGAUAAAAAAAUGCUGUUCGUGGCAUGCAUGAAAGUUAAUGAGCCGCUGAAACGUCCUUGUUUAACAAAAGCUGAUACUUGAGGAUAUGGCCAAGUUUGAAAAGUGAAGGAAAUUCCAGCACAAUCCAGGUGGGAAGCCAAAACUAAACAUAAACAAAUAAACACAUAAUCUCUAAUUAACAGCUGCCUAAUUCAUGGAUCAACUCAAAACCUCAGGAAUAUUUUAUUAUAGCAUUUAAUCUUUUUUAUAGGAUAGGACAGAGUCCUAUGUGUGGUUGACUUUUCUAAACUAGUCAACACCAUGAUCUUCUUCCAAACCCGGGUCAAUCCUCCAUACGUGUGCGUUCCCACAGGGGAUGAGAAGCCCAGGUUUGACCGUUGACCUACUCCUGUCGCACUCCUAGUAUUACAGCAUAUCCCUUCUCCAAUCAAUCGACGCAACGAGAGAUUUUUCAAUGUAAUCGGUACACGGAAUAAUACAUCACGUAUCAUUAUAUAAAUAGUAGGAUAUGUGUGCUAAAAAGUUAAUAACUUAAAAAGUAAAAUUUCUCACCACUCCUAUUAAAACACAUGAUGUACCACUUGUGUUCCUGUCACAACUAAAUUUUUUCUACAACACAUCACAUCAGCUUUAAUACGUUGUUGACGUGGCAUGCAAACAGAAUUAUAGAUAGAUUUGGAACUUAAACACGUGCGGUUUUAAGCCAUUAUCCUAUGGGUGAGAAAUGGGAACGCACCCUCCUGUUCUAUAAUUUUGUUUGCCUUUUCCGACUUUUUAUUUCCCGUGUGACCAACAGAAUAAUUAAAAAAUUCUCAAGUUCGAUCAAAUGUAGUGUGUGUAUAUAUUU
This 2108-nucleotide long non-coding RNA is filed under the name Malus domestica (apple). Its description in RNAcentral is "long non-coding RNA (MDOM_LNC003327)". Lineage: Eukaryota; Viridiplantae; Streptophyta; Magnoliopsida; Rosales; Rosaceae. The record is from RNAcentral.